RNAcentral lists this ribosomal RNA (504 nucleotides) under uncultured bacterium. RNAcentral's name for it is "bacterial SSU rRNA". It matches the Rfam family "Bacterial small subunit ribosomal RNA", at positions 94 to 630 of the family's 1533-position model. The record is from RNAcentral.
AGUGGCGACCGGGUGAGUAACACGUGACUAACCUACCUCCGAGUGGGGAAUAACUCCGGGAAACCGGGGCUAAUACCGCAUAACAUCGCGAGAUCAAAGCAGCAAUGCGCUUGGAGAGGGGGUCGCGGCUGAUUAGCUAGUUGGCGGGGUAACGGCCCACCAAGGCGAAGAUCGGUAUCCGGCCUGAGAGGGCGCACGGACACACUGGAACUGAAACACGGUCCAGACUCCUACGGGAGGCAGCAGUGGGGAAUUUUGCGCAAUGGGGGAAACCCUGACGCAGCAACGCCGCGUGGAGGAUGAAGCCCUUUGGGGCGUAAACUCCUUUCGACCAAGACGAUAAUGACGGUACUGGUGGAAGAAGCACCGGCUAACUCUGUGCCAGCAGCCGCGGUAAUACAGAGGGUGCGAGCGUUGUUCGGAAUUAUUGGGCGUAAAGGGCGCGUAGGCGGUGCCACAAGUCACUUGUGAAAUCUCCGGGCUUAACUCGGAGUCUGCAGGCGA